GGUUUUGUAGUGUAGUAGUCAUCACGUCUGCUUUACAUGCAGAAGGUCCUGGGUUCAAUCCCCAGUGAAACCA
RNAcentral lists this transfer RNA (73 nucleotides) under Xenopus laevis (African clawed frog). It matches the Rfam family "tRNA". From Rfam's summary of the family: Transfer RNA (tRNA) molecules are approximately 80 nucleotides in length. Their secondary structure includes four short double-helical elements and three loops (D, anti-codon, and T loops). Further hydrogen bonds mediate the characteristic L-shaped molecular structure. tRNAs have two regions of fundamental functional importance: the anti-codon, which is responsible for specific mRNA codon recognition, and the 3' end, to which the tRNAs corresponding amino acid is attached (by aminoacyl-tRNA synthetases). tRNAs cope with the degeneracy of the genetic code in two manners: having more than one tRNA (with a specific anti-codon) for a particular amino acid; and 'wobble' base-pairing, i.e. permitting non-standard base-pairing at the 3rd anti-codon position. Lineage: Eukaryota; Metazoa; Chordata; Amphibia; Anura; Pipidae. The record is from Rfam by way of RNAcentral.